CAGCGGGGCAGACUGAGAUGAGGGGAGUGGAUUCUCCACAAUACAGGCAGAGCUGGUAACAGAUUCACCAUUGACAUUCGGAGGAUUUCAGGCGGUAUGCGUCCAUUAUCAUUGGCUCUUCGGCUUCCAGCGCUAGCGAUGGAACUCUGGGAGAUUAUAUUGCGUUAGCAGACGAGGAAAAUGGGCAAGCAGAAAAAUGUUGUGAUACGCUCAUAGUUUUCUUGAUGAAUGCUUCUAAGUUAGCAUUAUCAUCGUAAAUGACCAUUUUUAUGAAUGUGAGGUUUUAGCCCCUUAUGAUAAGCUAGGAGGGCUUCUUGAUUCCACCCACUACUCGCAGCAAGUGAUCUAAACUGUAGCAUAUACUCAUGGAUGGGGAGAUUUCAGUGGCGGAGAUUAAUUAGUUCGUCAUGUACUGACAGGGAAGGGAGUGGGACUGCAAAUACCUCUUUGAAGUGGCUUAAGAACAUUUUGUAAGGUGGCCAUCACCGUGCUGCUGGCAUUUUAUAGAGCAUCUGCCCACUGUAGAGCUCAACCUAAAAGCAGGGAUAUCAUGAAAGCAACUUUCAAGAUUUCAUUAGGAAAUUAAUGAGCAUUGGCUUCCAUAUACAGUGAACAUUGAGAGAGAAAACCAGGUGCUUCGUUCACCCGAGUAAUUCAUGGGUCGAGCAAGUGGCGUGCUCAUGAUGACCACUGGGGUGAAAGUGGCACUUAAGGGUGUGGAAGGCAACGUUUGCCACAUGGUGUGGACCACACCAGCGAAUGGAUCCGAAGCGCUUCCGGUUAGCACAGCGAUAGCUUUCAUGAGCGUGUUGUUUUCUUCUGGGCCAGUAUUCUGUCAAGCUGGUAGACAAGGAUGGUUAUCGUUUGUUAGUUUUAUUCAAAACAAAGUUACUUAAUCAAAGUGAGGAGGUAAAGGAGUGGUGUUAAUGCUGUUAUCGAUCUUCUUUCACAGCAUGGUAAUGUAAACAUCAGAUGUUAGCGAUCUCAUGGGAACAUCAGCAGUGUGAAGGAUCCGAAGGCACAUAAGGAACAUCCGUGGUAUGAAGGAUUCGAGGAUUCAUAAAGAACAUCCAUGGAAGAAGAAGAGAAGACGAAGAAGUGAAGAUGAGGACAACCAUCCGACUUCAAUACCGGUCGAUGACUAAGGAGAAGGUAGGCUUUGUAUGUAGAGCUGAUAUAGAGCCAAAUUGCACAGUAAGAACUAUAUAUCUACUGCUAACUAUAUAUGAUUGUAACUGAAACUUUAAGUAACUAAAUAUUAAUUUACACAUUUAGUUAUUCAUUUAGCAUUAAAAAUUAAACUAAGAAAUCUUCAACCAAAAUCUAUGCAGAUAUGGAAAGAAUAAAAAGAGAGCUUGAAAAUUUUAAGGUUCCGUGAAUUUACAAUUUGUAGUACAUUUGUACAUUAAAUUGGAUGUGUACAUGUAGUACAUACAUCAAUCUUUAUCACAAAAAAGAGAGAAUUUUC
Non-coding RNA from Danio rerio (zebrafish), 1468 nucleotides. The record is from RefSeq and is a predicted model, not a curated record. Lineage: Eukaryota; Metazoa; Chordata; Actinopteri; Cypriniformes; Danionidae.